This 126-nucleotide ribosomal RNA is filed under the name Diplostomum pseudospathaceum. RNAcentral's name for it is "partial 5.8S ribosomal RNA". It matches the Rfam family "5.8S ribosomal RNA", at positions 1 to 123 of the family's 154-position model. From Rfam's summary of the family: 5.8S ribosomal RNA (5.8S rRNA) is a component of the large subunit of the eukaryotic ribosome. It is transcribed by RNA polymerase I as part of the 45S precursor that also contains 18S and 28S rRNA. The record is from RNAcentral. Lineage: Eukaryota; Metazoa; Platyhelminthes; Trematoda; Diplostomida; Diplostomidae.
GUACAACUCUGAGCGGUGGAUCACUCGGCUCGUGUGUCGAUGAAGAGUGCAGCCAACUGUGUGAAUUAAUGUGAACUGCGUACUGCUUUGAACAUCGACAUCUUGAACGCAUAUUGCGGCCGCGGG